GUUUAUCUAGUGUUAAAAAACUGAAACAAGAAGUGCUUCUGGACCAGUGUUGUUUACAUCUUUUGAAAUGGUCUAUAGACAUAGUGACUUAAACACUGUACCCAGUCAACAUGUGAGAUCACGCGAUGAUCACAGAAAAAUCACACCAUUUUCAUACUGUGACAUUCUUAUCUUGUGAGUUAUGUGCAAGCUCUUUGUGAAUGUUGAGUUCAUGGUAUCAGUGCACAAUGAGCGUGCCAUGACCUCACAUAGUGACCAUAGUAUGAGAUCACUGUGAGAGUACGGUGAACUCACAACCUGACCAUAAUUUGAGCACACAGUGGAUGUGCCGUGACCUCACAUCGUGACCAUAGUAUGAGCACAGCAAGUGUGUCGUAAUAUGAUUUGAGCACACAGUGAGUGUGCCGUGACCUCACAUCGUGACCAUAUUAUGAGCGCACACUGAGUGUGCUGUGACCUCACAUCAGGGCCACAGUAUGAGCGCACAGUGAGUGUGCGGUAACCUCAAAUUGUGACAAUAGCCUGAGUGACCUCACAUUGGUGCACUCACAGUACACUGACCUCUCUUCCGAGGUGCAUAAAUUCAAAAUAUGUAUUCGGAGUGUCAUGUGUGUUGCUUGUCAUUUCAAAAUAUGUGUACAUUGCUUCAUGUGAACCAUGUGCAUCACGUGUCUUGCCAAAAUACAUGCCCUGCUGCACAUGCAUCAAAAGUUUUUAUGAUAGAAGAGACGCUCACGUUCACAAAAUACUCACAAGACACUAACUUAAUAAACUCUGAUUACACAUGAGAUUAAGUGAGUAUCUGACAAACGCGAGUGUCUUUUAUUAUAAACUCCUUAAUUCGAAGCAUCUGCAGCAGGUUUGUAUUAUGACAUCCCGCAAAGUACCAUCAAGAUGUUGCUCAGAGAGCUAAUAUGCUAGGAUUUGCUAUUUGAAAAACAGGUCACUGAGAUGUCAACAUUUAUUUGCAAAUCAUACAGUGAACCCAUAACAAGUCAUGAACACACACAUGCACUGAGCAAGUAUCACUGCAUCACCCAAACACUGCAAUCACUUUCUUCCAGCUGUGGAAAUCAAACCAACAUCCUCUGGGUUACAAACAAGUCUGAUUCUCUAACCACUAGGCCACAAUGCUUAAACACAUAUCUGUCAAUCCCGGUCACUUUUACUUAAAAUCUGUGCUUUCUAGAAUCUUUAUUUGUAGGCUUCUUCAUGCCAUAACCUUGUUGUUGACAUUUUAUAUGAUAUAUACACACCAUGCACAGGGCUGUAUAAAAUGCUGUGUAGAAAGUGUCCUAAAUUUUGAGCCUAUGAUCAUUCCUAUAUUUCUUAAAAUUAUAGGUAAGAAGGGUGACGUUCUACUCUUGGGCCUACGUUUUCCAGACAUAUGUGUUGUCCUGCUAUGACAAAGUGAGUGUGCUGUGACCUUACAUUAUUAUGACCAUGGAAUGAGAGCACAGUUGUACCAUGAACUCACAUCGUGACCAAUGUGAGGUCACUCAUACUAUUGUUACAAUGUAAACUAACUUUGUGGCCUACUGGUUAGCGAGUCAGACUUGUUUGUAACCCAGAGAUUAUUUGUUCAAUCCCACAGAUAGCAAGUUAUUGAAGUGUUGGGGUGCUGCAGUGAUAGUUGCCCUGUGUGUGGGGUGUGCAUAUAUGUGUGUGUGUGGUUUUUGUGUGUUCAUGACUUGCAGUGGAUGGGUUAAAUGCAGAGAAAUUCAUGUCUUUUUUACUUUUUCUUUUAUUUUGCCCGAUAUCAGUUGCAAUUAAAUAGUGACAUGUUUCCAAUAGCAAAAGCUAGCAUAUUAGCUCUCUGAGCACCCUGCUGAAAAAAAACAGCAUCAAACCAACAUGGACCAGCAUGGGAAUGCUGGUCUAUGCCGGUUUAGCUGGUGGUCACCAGCAUACCAGCACCAAAACACAAAAUAUGCUGGUCAUGCUGGUAUGGCCAGCAUGGGAUGCUGGUGCUAAUGCUGGUUUGGUGCUGGUUUAGCUGGUGCUAAUGCUGGUUUAGCUGGUGUUCACCAGCAAACCAGCAACAAAACACAACAUAUGCUGGUCUUGCUGGUAUGCUGUUUUUUAGCAGGACAAAUCUGGUACUUGCAUAUGGUGGGCUUUAUGGGGUAGUACAGUGAGUGUGAAGUGAUCUCAUAUUGUGACCGUCACAUGAGCACACAUUGAGUGUGCAGCGUGCUUACACAUUAAGAUCACUAUGACCCACACAAUCAGUAUCUUGUGAGCUCAUGGUGACUUUCCUUACGAAAAUUAACCAUGGUUUUACUACAGUUAAAACCAAAAAAGCAUGGUUACUGUAGUAAAACCAUGGUAACCACAAAAUAACCAUGGUUUUGACAACCAUGUUUUUCUAAAACCACAGUUAAACCAUGGUUAGUAGCCGUUAAGUGUAGUAAAACCAUGGUUUUGCUGAUAGUAAUCAAUACACCAAAAAACUAUGGUUACUACACUUUUACCACAAUAAAACCAUGGCUAAUUUUCGUAAGGGUUCACUGAGAGAUCACAUUGUUCCCUAGUGAAUGAUGCCCCAAGUCAAAGACCCGAGGUGACAUUGAAGGGUUAACCUGAAGUAGUAAAACCAAAAGAAAGUCAGCAUCUCUUUAGUGUCCUCACUAAUAUAAGUUAGUUGAAAUUACUAGUUUGUCUUCCACCCAGUGCAAGCGUUUUACAUGAACCCCCAAACCCCACCCAGAAAAACAUAGCACAACUUAUUAAAGUUUAUUUAAUUUAUUUUAAUGUUUGAUUGUUCUGUGAAAUACAGUGGUAUUAAGUGCUAAAAAAAUCUACGCGUUUUUUUUUUUUUUUUUUUUUCGUCACUGGGUCAAUACAACGUAGUGCGCAUGUGUCUGCAGGAAGAGGCGCGGUGGCGGUAUGCACCAGUAGGUGUAACCCGCCAUAAAAUUGAAAGAAGAAGAAGAAGAAGGAAGAGCCGCUUGUGCGCAUGUGCGUGCAUGCAUCCAGAGGUUACCACGCGAGACUGAGUAAAUACAGACAGGUGGAUAUUAAUCAGUUCGAUGACUAAAAUACUUCUUGCCAUCAACGGACAACGUUUCAUACUACAGUACGUGAUCUGGAGCUUGACUUCACCUGUUUUGUGGUGGUUAACAAAUUGUGCGGUGCUUUUGGCAUUGUCUAUCCAUGUAUAAUUGUGAUGUUCCAGGAGUGUUAAUGGAAGCUACACAGUAUGUAGAUGUUUGUUCCAUUAUAUGUAUGUGUGUGUACCUGGUAAUUAUCACGUUGUGGGGACCUAAUGUCCCCACAAAGAUAGGAAUACCAGUAAAUUUUGACCUCGUGGGGACAUUUGUGAGGUCCCCAUGAGGAACCAAGCUUAUAAAUUAAACGGAAUGAUUUUCUUGGAUUUUUUCUUGAAAAUCUAAGGUCGCAGAAAGUUUUCUGUGAUGGUUGGGGUUAGGAUUUGGGGAAGGGAAUAGAAUAUACAGUUUGUACAGUACAGUAUAAAAUGCAUUAUGUCUAUGGAAUGUCCCCACAAAAGAUGGAAACCAGAAUGUGUGUGUGUGCGUGCCAUGGAACAAAUAUUUAUUUUUAUAGCUUUUUGUGUGUUCUGUUUUUGACUUUCCCCCUGAUAUCAAGACACCAAAAUAAUAUUUUAAUACGCAUUUUCAUGUGUUUGUAAAGAAAAUAAAGUGUACUUCACUGUUUUUUGUGUUAUUCUUUAUUCUGACAUUUACACUUUUGUAGUCAGCCCACACAGAUUUAGUUUAUUUUGAUUUAUAUAGCACUUCUAACAGUUUUUAUUGUUGUAAAGCAGCUAUACAUACAAUUAUAAUUAAAAAUAAUGGUGAUAGAAAUUGAUAAAAUAAAAUAGACAUUAUAUGGUAGGAAAAUACUUAAUUAUAUAUUAAUUAUAUAUAAUUAUAUAUUAUUCUCAAUGUACAUACGGUAAAUGAAAACUGAAGUAAGGGACAAAAAUUUCAAGUGUGUUGCUAAUAUUGUAAGGGAUUUAAAACUUGUGGUUCUUUACAAAAUACUUGCCUGGACUAUUCACUGUACUCCUGACUUUUGUCAGAUUUAUUGACAGGUCUUUCUGUUACAUUACUGAAUUAGGUAUGUGUCCAGUGGCACAACAAGACUCAAAAUGGAAAACAAGCUUUAAAAGUCCAAGAAUUGAUGUAAAAACUUAUGUAUCUGGAAUUACAGUUUAAUUGUAAAAAUACAAAUAAAUAUAAAACUAAGAACAUUU
Paramisgurnus dabryanus is the source of this 4219-nucleotide long non-coding RNA. RefSeq lists it as uncharacterized. The record is from RefSeq and is a predicted model, not a curated record. Lineage: Eukaryota; Metazoa; Chordata; Actinopteri; Cypriniformes; Cobitidae.